AGAAACUUAGGUUACAACUAAACCAGGAGCCUUCAAAGCCCCAAACAAGAUUCCACUCUCUUAGUUUCUG
Molecule: transfer RNA, 70 nt
Filed under: Carphodactylus laevis
Lineage: Eukaryota; Metazoa; Chordata; Lepidosauria; Squamata; Carphodactylidae
Description: tRNA-Trp
Source: RNAcentral